AGGACGAACGCUGGCGGCGUGCUUAACACAUGCAAGUCGAGCGGAAAGGCCCUUCGGGGUACUCGAGCGGCGAACGGGUGAGUAACACGUGAGCAAUCUGCCCUUAGCUUCGGGAUAGCCCCGGGAAACCGGGAUUAAUACCGAAUACGACCUCGGCCGACAUCGGCUUUGGUGGAAAGUUUUUCGGCUAGGGAUGAACUCGCGGCCUAUCAGCUUGUUGGUGGGGUAAUGGCCUACCAAGGCGACGACGGGUAGCCGGCCUGAGAGGGCGACCGGCCACACUGGGACUGAGACACGGCCCAGACUCCUACGGGAGGCAGCAGUGGGGAAUAUUGCGCAAUGGGCGAAAGCCUGACGCAGCGACGCCGCGUGGGGGAUGAAGGCCUUCGGGUUGUAAACCCCUUUCAGCAGGGACGAAGCGAGAGUGACGGUACUGCAGAAGAAGCGCCGGCUAACUACGUGCCAGCAGCCGC
This 473-nucleotide ribosomal RNA is filed under the name uncultured bacterium. RNAcentral's name for it is "SSU rRNA". It matches the Rfam family "Bacterial small subunit ribosomal RNA", at positions 26 to 518 of the family's 1533-position model. The record is from RNAcentral.